CCUCCCUCGCCAACGCCUACGCUAAGAUCGUCAACGCCUGCUGUUCACACGGACACCGGGAGGCCUGCUUCGACAAGGCGGGUGAGACUUUACGUAACAAAUCAGUCGAGGCUCUGGAUCGUGCCGCGUUGUUGUGCAAGUCCCUCAAGGAACAAGGCAAAGAGAAAUUCUACGAACGGAUGGUGAUACUGUUCUCCCGUCCCGUGGCUGAAGCCUCCUUCAAACAAUUCUCACAGCUGCUGAGAAGAUUCAUCAGCACCAUGGGGGAUUGCUGUGGGAAAGAAAAUGCAGCUGGAUGUCUGUUACAUCACGUAGGGAGUUCACUCAGUCACUCAGUCAGUCACUCAGUUAGUCACUCAGUCAGUCAGUCACUCAGUCAGUCAGUCACUCAGUCAGUCACUCAGUCACUCAG
Molecule: non-coding RNA, 412 nt
Organism: Petromyzon marinus (sea lamprey)
Lineage: Eukaryota; Metazoa; Chordata; Hyperoartia; Petromyzontiformes; Petromyzontidae
Source: RefSeq, a predicted model, not a curated record